CACAGAACAACUUCUGUUUUCUCAUUUUCAAGAAAAGAGAAAAUGAUAGACCUAUCUGUCUAACAGAUUUGUGAGGUUUGAAUGAGAUAAAGGAAUUAAUAUUGCUUUGAAAAAGUGUCAAUUUGCCAGAUAAAUAUACAUUUCUAUGAUUAUUGUGUUAUUAAUCCAGACCUCUUUGUCAUAUUUGGGACAAUAGUCAUUCAGCUAAAGGCUCAGUUUCCAGAGUCCAAUUGCCUAGUUCCUUCACAUCCUUGUUCUCCUUAUGGACAGAGUAGACUUUACCAAGUGACUUUACUUUUCUGUACCUCAUUAGAUAAUGAUACCUGAAUCAUAAGGUUAUUGGGAGAACUAAAUGAAGUAAUAUAUAUAUUUUUAAAGCCCUGAGAACAUAAGACUAAAAAGUUGUUUUAUUGUUUUUGUUGUUACUGUUGUUAUUAUUAGCCCAUGAUCCAGCCAUAAUAAUAAUACUUGAACAUAUUCUUUUUUGUUCCACUCAAAUUCUUGUGAUGUAAACUUUAGCCAGCGACAAAAGAGAAGCUGUUAAAAUUGGCUCUCCAAAUAGGUUUUAAAAACAUACUUCUUAUUUGCCUGCAUAGUACUGAACUCUUUUUCAGCAAUAGAUGCCUCAACAGAAAAAUGGAAAUCUGAAGUAAAAUUCAUUAUGGCUGUUCCAGAAAAUACACAUUUCUUCCUCCAAAUGGUUAGUGAAUGAAUUAUUUGUUUCCUGGGAAGUAACUUUAAAAUUAGGGCAAUUCUAACCUUGUGGCCUAUAUCUAUAAAUGAAUGUGAGGUUAAUUUGUUCUUUGCAAGUUUCUAAUUUUAACCAAAACUGUACCAUCUAGGAAAGGUAGGCAAAUCAAGAAAAUUGAAACACGGUUAAGGAGUAAUUUUGAUGAAAUGUAGUCACCUCAUUAGCUGUUGUCCUCUAGUCUAUUGAUAGGUAGAUCAGGAUUAUCUGACUUUCUGCUGAGACAGGAAAUCUACCAAUGUAGAUUUCUCUCACGUUAAAUACGUAUUUUUUCCCAAAUCAACUUUCUUUUCCUAAAAAUUUGCACCUCCUCCAUGUACUUGAGAGUGGAAAGGGCUGACAUCUUGGGAAUUAUUUAAAUUUUUCAAGAGUAUAGGAAAUCACAUUUCAACUUUCCACUGGCAAAAAAUCUAACUUGUAUUUUCAGUUCUAAAUAAAGGAAGAUUUUUUAAAGAUGUACAUUUAAUUUCACUGUUGAUAGCAGUGCAAAUCUAUCCAGUUGUAAAAGAGGGAGCAUUUAGAAUAGUGGACAAUGGUAAUUGAUCAAAAAAGUUAUGGUCACAGGUAAGUAAGAUGAGAAAGUAACAACCUAAUUGAAAAUUAUAGAGGCCAACUCUCUAGUUUCCAACAAGUAAGAAGAAAAACCUUAUCUUUUUUGGUGACUUACAAGUGUUUCUUUCAUUGAAUCAAAGGAGGGGAGGAAAGAUGAAAUUCUUAAUUAAUCAUGUAAUUGUGUUGUAAUAUUUAGUUACUAGGCUUUAUCUGUUAAGAUUUAGAAAUAAAAAUAAAAGACUACAAUUAUAAUAGCAUAGGUUUAUUUAAAUAUUUCUAAAAUGCUCUUAAGUUUGUAAACUCACAGAAAAUUUUAGACACACAGGUAUACCUCAGAGAUAUCAAGGGUUUGGUUCGAUACUGAAUAUCAUAACAAAAAUAAGUUAUAGAAUUUUUUUUUGUUUUCACAGUGCAUAUAAAAUUAUGUAUAUACUAUACUGUAGUCUAUUACAUGUGCAAUAAGAUUAUGUCCAAAAAAUAGACAUAUCAUACUUUAAAAAGUACUUUAGUGCUAAAAAAUGCUAAUAAUCUUCUGAGCCUUCAGUGAGUGAUAAUCUUUUUGCUGGUGGGGGGUCUUGCCUCAGUGUUGAUGGCUGCUGACUGAUUAGGGUGGUGGUAGCUUGAAGGUUGCAGUGGCUAUGACAAUUUCUUAAAACACCAUAACAACAAAGUUUGCUGGAUUGAUGGACUCUUUCUUUCAUGAAAGAUUUCUCUCUGGUAUGUGAUGCUGUUUGAUAGCAUUUUACCCACUGUAGAAAUUCUUUUGAAACUAGAGUCAUUGCUUUAUCAACUAAGUUUAUGGAAUAUCCUAAAUCCUUUGUCAAAAUAAUGACCUAAACAGUGUUCACAGCAUCUUGGUCAGGAGUAGAUUCCAUUCCAUAAAACCACAUUCUUUGCUCAUUCAUAAAAAGUGAAUUCUCAUCCAUUAAAGUUUUAUCAUGAGAAUGCAGCAAUUCAGUCACAUCUUUAGGCUUUACUUCUAAUUCUAGCUCUCUUGAUAAUUCUUCCAUAUCUGCAGUUACUUUCUCCACUGAAAUUUUGAACCCCUUAAAGUCAUCCAUGAGGGUUGAAAUCAGCUUCUUUCAAACUCGUGUUAAUAUUGAUGAUAUUUUGACCUCUUCGCAUGAAUCAGGAAUGUUAUUAAUGGCAUCUAGAAUAGUGAAUCCUUAUUAGAAAGUUUUUAAUUUACUUUGCCCAGAUCCAUCAGAGGAGUCAUUAUCUAUAGCAGCUAGAGCCUUAUAAAAAGUAUUACUUAAAUAAUUAGGCUUAAAGUUGACAUUGUUCCUUGAUCUAUGGGCUACGAAAUGGAUGUUGUGUUAGCAGGCAUACAAACGACAUUAAUCUUCUAGUGCAUCUGCAUCAGAGCUCUUGAAUGACUAGGUACAUUGUCCAUGAGCAGUGAUACUCUGAAAGAAAUAUUUUCUGAGUAGUAGUUCUCAACUGUGGGCUUAAAAUAUUCAGUAAACCAUGCUGUAAACAGAUAUUUUGUAAUCCAAGCUUUGUUGUUCCAUUUAUAGGGCACAGGCAGAGUAGAUUUAGCACAAUUCUUAAGGCUCCUAGGAUUUCUGCAAUGGUAAAUUGAGCCUUGUCUUCAACUCAAAGUCACCAGCUGCAUUAGCCCCUAACAAGACAGUAAACCUGUGUUUUGAAGCUUUGAAGCUAGGCACUGACUUCUCCUCCCUAGUUGCAAAAGCCCUAGAUGGCAUCUUCCUCCAAUGUAGAUGUAAAGUUGUUUCAUCUACAUUGAAAAUCAGUUGUUAGCAUAGCCACCUUCAUCGAUGAUCUUAACUAGGACUUCUGGAUAACUUGCUGCAGCUUCUCCAUCAGCACUUCCUACUUUACCUUACACUUUUAUGUUACUGAGAUGGUGUUUUUCCUUAAACUUCAUGAACCAACUUUUGCUAGCUUCUAACUUUUCUUCUGCAGCUUCUUCACAUCUAUCAGACUUCACAGAAUUGAAGAGAGUUAGAAUCUUGCUCUGGAUUAGGCUUUGGCUUUUAAGGGAAUGUUGAGACCGGUUUGAUCUACUCAAACUACUGAAAUUUUUCUCCACAUCAUAAAUAAGGCUAUUUUGCUUUUUUAUUAUUAAUAUGUUCACUGGGGUAGCACUUUUAAUUUCCUUCAAGAACUUUUCCUUUGCAUUUACAACUUGACUAACUGACACAUAAGGCUUAGUUUUUGGUCCAUCUCAGCUUUUGUCAUGCCUUCCUCACUAAGCUUAAUCAUGUCUACCUUUGAUUUAGAGUGAGAGAUAUGCAACUCUUUCACUUGAAUACUUGGAGGCCAUUGUAGUGUUUUUAAUUGGCCCGAUUUUAAUGUUGUUGUAUCUUAGGGAACAGGGAUGUCUAAGGAAAGGGAGAGAGAUAGAGGAAUGGGCAGUCAGUGGGGUGGUCAGAACACACACAAUAUUUAUCUAUUAAGUUUUCUAUCUUACAUGGGUAUGGUUUGUGAUGCCCCAAAGUAAUUACAAUAGUAACGUCGAAGAUCACUGAUCCAGAUUAUCAUAGCAGAUAUAAUAAGAAAACAUUUGAAAUAUGGUGAGAAUUACCAAAAUGUGACACAGAGACACAAAGGGAGCUCAUGUUGUUUGAAAAAUGGCACCCAAGGAAUUGCUAGUCACAAGGCUGCUAUAAUUCCUUCAAUUUGUUAAAAAAAGUAAUAUCUGUGAAGUAAAAUUUAAAUAAAAAUGAAGCACAAUAAAAUGAGAUAUGCUUGUAUACACUUUUCAGAAUAUUGUCUGUGACAUCUCUGCAUUCAGCAUAGAGAAAAGACAGCUUAUAAUAUUUAUUAAUUUUUUUAGCACAAAAAUGUCAUCUAUUAUUCCUUUUUUUUUGAGAUAAAUUAUUUCAUUAAUCCAUCUACCACAAUGUUUCAGAAGUCAAGCAGGUAUGUCAAGAAUAGGAUAGGUGAAAAGGUAGUCACUGAAGGAACUUCAAUGGCAGGAGAAAGAAGGAGAGCUCUCUCUAUGAGCAUUGCAGAACCUGCUGAUUUUACAAAUAUGGCAGCUAUGCCUCAGCAAAUUAUAAGCAAUAAUGAAUUAGUUAAUUUUCUUCUGUGAAAACUGCUAUGGCCCUCAGUGGAUUGUAUCAUGCCUGCCCACCUUGAUGAAGGUGACCUUCCCUACUCAAUCUACCAACUCAAAGGCUAAUUUCUUCUAAAACACCCUUACAGGCACACCCGGAAAUAAUGUUUUACCAGCUAUCUGGGCAUCCCUUAGCCCAGUCAAGUUGAUGCAUUAAGUUAAUCAUCACAUCUUCCUAUUGCUGGGAGCUGCUCCUUCAGCCUGGAUCCUGUAAUGAAGAAGACGUGAGAAACAAAGAAGAACAACACCUGACACACCAGAGUUCCAGAGUUUGAAUGUAUUUCUUUACAUGAAGAGGACCUAGGGAUGAAAAAGUGAAUUCAGUUUUGUUUUAUAAUUUCUCACCUCUCAGCACAUCAGAAGUAAAUAUUGGCCCUGCACACUUGGAUCCUUCUAAGCAGUGGAUGCUUCUGUCAGGCUGAGACUAAGCUUUGUAGAAGAGGAGGAAGACAAGAGCUACCAUCUGGAGAGCAGAACGUUUUGGGAAGCCAUCAAAGGCAAAGAACCUAAGAAUCCAGGAAGAUCUUGAACUAUUACCCUUUACUUUAAUUUUUAAUCAUGGAAAUAUUUGCUUGGAAAAGAGACUGUGUCUACAAUGGCAACCAUUUUUAUAUUCAGAAAUUUGCCAUGUAAAAUAAUUGAAUGUCAGAUGAAGAACUGCCUGUCAUAUUUUGCUAUUAAAAUAAUAUAUUUUUAUGCAUAACCUGACCUGCCUUUGUGAGUUACUGUAGCCUGUGGUCUCUCUGCAAGAUUUUCCAAUGGGAUUUUUAAUAAUAUUCCGAUGUUUGCCAUCUUAAGCAGUGCAAGCUGUUAAACUCAAUUUGUGAAAAAAAAAAAAUCAGGUAUAAAACCAGAUAAUCUGUAUCCCUUUGGAAUCAAAAGUCACUUUGCCAAAAUAUUUUAACACGCAAAAUUGCUUCUUGAGAGAUGUUUGUCAUGAUAAAAUGACAGAAAACUACAUUUCCAUUAUAAUUAUAACUGACUCGUGGUGCUAAGUUUUUAUAAUUUAAAGGUAUUCUCAACUCUGACAGCCCUUCCAUGUUGAAUUAUGCAUCUCAGGCUCUUAAAUAGUUCUGCUGGCACGAGACAGCUGAGAUGAAGUUGUCUUUCUAAAAUAAUUGCUCCAUGGAGCAUCCAUUAUACCUUCAGAAAAAAUGUAUUACUUGACUUCUACAAAUUAUAGACUAGCCUAUAAUGGGUAUUUUUGACAGCUAUUAGCUUUAAAAAAAUCUGAACAGUAAAAUGAGUAUUGAUAUCACAAUGGUGUACCGUGCAUGUUAAUACCAACCUUCUCUGUACUUUCCUCCUAAAGCAUGAUGUAAUCAUUAAUUAUAAUAAUAUUGAUAUAACUGCACUCAUGUUAAAAACAUAGUAUUGGCAAAGUAUGUAAUUUUCUCGCCUAUAAGAUAAAAAGCAUUAAAUGAAUAUUUACAGUAGAUUUUGAAGACACUGUCCAAGCUUGAAAGAUAAAAAGUGAAUUCAUUUUUGGCAAUAUUUUUCUUAAUCAUGAGAUUAUUAAGUGUAUUUUUAAAACAUGAAUGAGACAAUAAUCAAUGAAUAAUAGAGGUAAUAAUUUUAUUCCUCAGAUUCUUCUUCAAAAUGUUGAACACUGGUAAAAACAUAAUUUAUCAAUAAAUUUUAGAAAUGUUUUCCAUUUCUUAUCAAGAAUUUUAUGCAUCAUUUAGUUCUUAAACCAGUUCUAAUUUUUUAAAUAAAAACACUUGAAAACAUUCUUGCAGGAACAUUGCAUCCCACAGAACAACAAUAAUCCAAUUAUUAAAAUCUAGAAUGGAAACAAUAUUGAUAGAAAUAAAAGUAAAGGGUCAUUUUCUUUACUGUUUCCAUUUGUACCAAUUAAUUCCAGUUCUAUGAAAUAAAAUAUUUGUGGUUAAAUUUAGGGAAAUUCUAUGCAAAUUUAAAGUUUUCUGUGAUAAACAAAUAUAAGGUAAAUAUUUUCCUAGUGUAUUGCAUUGCCAGGGCCUUUUUUUUUUUUUUAAUGUGACUACAGAGAAAGAAAUGGCUUAAUUUCCUACGUCUCCCCUGAAUAAACAGUUCACAGACCCAGACACAUAUGGACACAUACCUCCUACCUGAAAAAUAAAAAAGUUACAAUAUAUCACUAACUUAACAUUAAUUAACACAUCAAUCCAUAGUGUAGCAACUGCCUAGUCUGUGCUACUUUGCCAAGUACUGAUCAGACAGUUCUUACUCACAAUUAUUCCUUAUUAACCGUAUCCUAGAGGUUCAUUCUUCUAUACAUGGCCAGAGCCAAAAUUACCCAGAUACGUGGUCUUUACAAAUUCCCUUGGAUUUAAAUUCAUCCUCCCCUCUCAGGCUAACAGUAGAGAGACAAUUCCUGGGCUAAGUCCCUGCACUCGUUUUCUUUUGUGUUAGGGAUUUGGUUGGAUGAUGAGGACGGGUGGGAAGUUAGAGGGAAACAUAAUACAGUUUUAGUGCAUCUUUCCAAUUCUCAUGUCUUACUUUUAUGUCUCUUAUUCAAAUGAAGUUAGAAGACUAUAAAGUUAAAGAGAUAGAGAAAUAUUUAGAAAUAAAUAUUUAACCAUUGUCUUAAAAGAACAAGAGUAGGAGGGAAGGAAGUAGAAAGAAACAGGUGACAGAGACUUUAUACUUCACUAUGCAUUAGUCACACCCUUUAUACUGGGUCCAAUGGGUACAAUCCAAAGUAGAGAAAAAUGCUCUAGUGUUGGGAUUAAUAGUUUACGUUAAGGUUACCACAAUUGUUUAUGACAAUCUAAGUUAAAAAAAUCUCUUUUAUAUAUUCUUUGCAGCUGAUAUUAUAUUAAACAUUAACACACUUCUUUUUACUGGGUAAGAAAUUUUGAUAGCAUGAGAUUUUGAUUUUUUAAAUAUUUAUUGUAGUCACAAAUUAUUAAAUUACGAACAAAAAUUAUUUAUCUGUUUACACAAUUGAGGCAUUAUAGAUGGAGUUAUCAAACAAGUAUCUCCCCAAAGCAAAACCACUUAUAGUAACAAAAGGAUGAUUUUUAUUUCAAGGGACUUAAAUAAUGUAUUUCUACAUCCUUAAAACUCAUCGAAAAUUGGGUUUAUGGGUUUUUAAUUGGAAAGACUACCAAGUGGUGAACACUAUCUGCUGGGAAGAACCUGUGUCUAUAAUAUUCUUUCAAAAACCCGUGUCAUUCCUGUGUUUACUAUGAAUAAAAUUCAACAUGUAUAUUAUCUGUUUGUGUGGUAUUUACAUAAAAUGUGAAAAUUAUACACAAAAUCACCUGUGAAAAUGCAAUGGAAUUUUGCAUGAUUUUAGUUACUACUUUUGAUUUUUCUAUAGCCUUCACAUUUUACACAAUACAAAUAAGUUUUUAUUUACUUUAUGUAAGCAAU
Molecule: long non-coding RNA, 7742 nt
Filed under: Homo sapiens (human)
Lineage: Eukaryota; Metazoa; Chordata; Mammalia; Primates; Hominidae
Description: HSALNT0041144
Source: RNAcentral